AUGGAGCUCCUCCCGCCACUGCCUCAGUCCUUCCUGUUGCUGCUGCUGUUGCCUGCCGAGCCUGCGGCGGGCGAGGACUGGCAGUGCCCGCGCACACCCUACGCGGCCUCUCGCGACUUUGACGUGAAGUACGUGGUGCCCAGCUUCUCCGCCGGAGGCCUGGUACAGGCCAUGGUGACCUACGAGGGCGACAGAAAUGAGAGUGCUGUGUUUGUAGCCAUACGCAAUCGCCUGCAUGUGCUUGGGCCUGACCUGAAGUCUGUCCAGAGCCUGGCCACGGGUCCUGCUGGGGACCCUGGCUGCCAGACGUGUGCAGCCUGUGGCUCAGGCCCCCACGGCCCUCCCGGUGACACAGACACAAAGGUGCUGGUGCUAGAGCCCGCGCUGCCUGCGCUGGUCAGUUGUGGCUCCAGCCUGCAGGGCCGCUGCUUCCUGCAUGACCUAGAGCCCCAAGGGACAGCCGUGCAUCUGGCAGCACCAGCCUGCCUCUUCUCAGCCCACCAUAACCGGCCCGAUGACUGCCCUGACUGUGUGGCCAGCCCAUUGGGCACCCGUGUGACUGUGGUUGAGCAAGGCCAGGCCUCCUAUUUCUACGUGGCAUCCUCACUGGACGCAGCCGUGGCUGCCAGCUUCAGCCCACGCUCAGUGUCUAUCAGGCGUCUCAAGGCUGACGCCUCGGGAUUCGCACCGGGCUUUGUGGCGUUGUCAGUGCUGCCCAAGCAUCUUGUCUCCUACAGUAUUGAAUACGUGCACAGCUUCCACACGGGAGCCUUCGUAUACUUCCUGACUGUACAGCCGGCCAGCGUGACAGAUGCUCCUAGUGCCCUGCACACACGCCUGGCACGGCUUAGCGCCACUGAGCCAGAGUUGGGUGACUAUCGGGAGCUGGUCCUCGACUGCAGAUUUGCUCCAAAACGCAGGCGCCGGGGGGCCCCAGAGGGCGGACAGCCCUACCCUGUGCUGCGGGUGGCCCACUCCGCUCCAGUGGGUGCCCAGCUUGCCACUGAGCUGAGCAUCGCUGAGGGUCAGGAAGUGCUAUUUGGGGUCUUUGUGGCUGGCAAGGAUGGUGGUCCUGGCGUGGGCCCCAACUCUGUCGUCUGUGCCUUCCCCAUUGACCUGCUGGACACACUAAUUGAUGAGGGUGUGGAACGCUGUUGUGAAUCCCCAGUCCAUCCAGGCCUCCGGCGAGGCCUCGACUUCUUCCAGUCGCCGAGUUUUUGCCCCAACCCGGUUUUCCAGGUACCUAUCCGAGGCCCUGGCUGCCGCCACUUCCUCACCUGUGGGCGUUGCCUAAGGGCACAGCGUUUCAUGGGCUGUGGCUGGUGUGGGAACAUGUGUGGCCAGCAGAAGGAGUGUCCUGGCUCCUGGCAACAGGACCACUGCCCACCUAAGCUUACUGAGUUCCACCCCCACAGUGGACCUCUAAGGGGCAGUACAAGGCUGACCCUGUGUGGCUCCAACUUCUACCUGCACCCUUCUGGUCUGGUGCCUGAGGGAACCCAUCAGGUCACUGUGGGCCAAAGUCCCUGCUGGCCACUGCCCAAGGACAGCUCAAAACUCAGGUACAAUCUGGUCCCUCCCCUCCCUUUCCCUGAAGGGGACAACCAAGCAGCUCCUUCCCCAUGA
Molecule: small RNA, 1626 nt
Filed under: Pongo abelii (Sumatran orangutan)
Lineage: Eukaryota; Metazoa; Chordata; Mammalia; Primates; Hominidae
Description: retained intron
Source: RNAcentral